UGUAAAGUCAGCUAAUAAAGCUCUUGGGCUCAUGCCCCAAUCAUGUCGGUUAAACCCCACCCUUUACAA
Molecule: transfer RNA, 69 nt
Filed under: Mantella bernhardi
Lineage: Eukaryota; Metazoa; Chordata; Amphibia; Anura; Mantellidae
Description: tRNA-Met
Source: RNAcentral